This 419-nucleotide ribosomal RNA is filed under the name uncultured prokaryote. RNAcentral describes it as "bacterial SSU rRNA". It matches the Rfam family "Bacterial small subunit ribosomal RNA", at positions 338 to 774 of the family's 1533-position model. The record is from RNAcentral.
CCAACGGGCGGCAGCAGUAGGGAAUAUUGGUAAUGUGCGAAAGCGCGAACCAGCAACGCCGCGUGCACGAUGAAGGCCUUCGGGUCGUAAAGUGCUUUUAGAGAGGAUGAGGAAGGACAGUACUUUCUGAAUAAGCCUCGGCUAACUACGUGCCAGCAGCCGCGGUAAAACGGAGGAGGCAAGCGUUAUCCGGAUUUACUGGGCGUAAAGCGCAUGCAGGUGGUCUGGCAAGUCUGAUGUGAAAGCUCCGGGCUUAACUGGGAGAGGUCGUUCAAAACUGCGGGACUAGAGAGUGGUAGAGGGAGGUGGAAUUCCGGGUGUAGUGGUGAAAUGCGUAGAUAUCCGGAGGAACACCAGUGGCGAAAGCGGCCUCCUGGACCACUUCUGACACUCAGAUGCGAAAGCUAAGGUAGCAAACG